RNAcentral lists this long non-coding RNA (1070 nucleotides) under Salmo salar (Atlantic salmon). Its description in RNAcentral is "lncRNA (ENSSSAG00000083464.1, ENSSSAG00075025476.1)". The stretch from base 82 to 155 matches the Rfam family "mir-129 microRNA precursor family". Lineage: Eukaryota; Metazoa; Chordata; Actinopteri; Salmoniformes; Salmonidae. The record is from RNAcentral.
GUUUCAGGUGCUGAGAGGACUGUCUGACCAUAUGCAAACGUGACCGUAACCUUGAUGUUGACGUUGACCCCUUUGUCCUCUUCAGGUCUUUUUGCGGUCUGGGCUUGCUGUUAACAAACCUCAACCCAGGAAGCCCUUACCCCAAAAAGCAUCUGCAGUUGACCCCAGCAUCACAAACCAUUCUCUACAAUGUUAUCGAAUGCAAAGGCACAGUGACGACUGGUUGGUUCACUGCUGAGUCCUCCGGUAAGGAGUUGCAAAACAACAGAAGAGCAGGCUGAGCAACCCUGGGUAAUCGAUUCAUCAUCCUGUUUCCGCAUCAUGACGGCAGGAAACCAACUCGAACACAUUCAUCACGUCAAUAACUAUGUCUCUGCCUGGGGGGUGUUACCCAACUCGGUUUUUAUGUUAUUGUCUACGCUGCCUGAUGCUAUUUAACCACCUUACUGAGACAGCAGGGUCACUUCCUGAAUCAACAGUAGCAACAACCAAUCACAACAUUCCAUUUCCCACAGGAAGUUAAACUGUGUGGGCUCCAAGCCCUGGUCAGAUGCCCAGGGUCCUUGCUAUCUGGCAUCCUUGGGACGUCAGCCCAUUAAAGUUGAAAUGUUAAAUGGUUAAGGUAAGGGUUAAGGUUAGGGUUAUGUAAGGGUUAAGGUGAUGCUAAGGCGUUAAGGUUAGGGUUAGAGUUUAGGGUAUGCGACAUCCAAAGGAUUCCAGAUAGCACUAACCGAUGCCCAGGGAUGUAUUUAAUUUCUCCUAGCUCCUUCACAGAACUGACAGACUGAAUAAGUGAAGGGGUAACAUUUUAUAUGAAGGGGUUUUAAGGCAGACAACGCUGUCAUAAGACUACAUGACAUGUGACAUAAACAUGAAUAGAUAUUUAUAUAUGUUUGUUCUAGUCAUCAAUAAGUGUAAUUUCAUUUCCAAUGUCAAGUUGACAUAAUUCAUUAUUAUCAUAUCAUUGUCUUGGCAUAACUUGUCAUGGUAGUAUGUUAUCAUUCAGUGCCUUCGGAAAGUAUUUAUACCCUUUGACUUAUUCCACAUUUUGUUGUGUUACAGCCUGAAUU